RNAcentral lists this ribosomal RNA (448 nucleotides) under uncultured bacterium. Its description in RNAcentral is "bacterial SSU rRNA". It matches the Rfam family "Bacterial small subunit ribosomal RNA", at positions 355 to 825 of the family's 1533-position model. The record is from RNAcentral.
UAGGGAAUAUUGGGCAAUGGAGGGAACUCUGACCCAGCCAUGCCGCGUGCAGGAUGAAGUAUUUCGGUAUGUAAACUUCGUAAGAAUAGGAAGAAUAAAUGACGGUACUAUUUGUAAGGUCCGGCUAACUACGUGCCAGCAGCCGCGGUAAUACGUAGGGACCAAGCGUUGUUCGGAUUUACUGGGCUUAAAGGGUGCGUAGGCGGUGCGGUAAGUGCGGUGUGAAAUCCCACGGCUCAACCGUGGAAUUGCGCUGCAUACCUGCCGUGCUAGAGGGAGACAGGGGUAAGCGGAACUGAUGGUGGAGCGGUGAAAUGCGUUGAUAUCAUCAGGAACACCGGUGGCGAAAGCGGCUUACUGGGUCUCUUCUGACGCUGAGGCACGAAAGCUAGGGUAGCGAACGGGAUUAGAUACCCUAGUAGUCCCUGAGCGGGCUGGCAAGGCGCAU